RNAcentral lists this ribosomal RNA (87 nucleotides) under Alistipes communis. RNAcentral describes it as "partial 16S ribosomal RNA". It matches the Rfam family "Bacterial small subunit ribosomal RNA", at positions 1 to 80 of the family's 1533-position model. The record is from RNAcentral. Lineage: Bacteria; Pseudomonadati; Bacteroidota; Bacteroidia; Bacteroidales; Rikenellaceae.
AAAUUAUACAAUGGAGAGUUUGAUCCUGGCUCAGGAUGAACGCUAGCGGCAGGCUUAACACAUGCAAGUCGAGGGGCAGCAUAAUGG